AGAUGGGUGGUCACUGGGGUGUGUUCUUGAGCAAGACACGACAACCUUAGCUCAACAAACAGGACGCCACACGGUGGCGACCAGCAAUGGCUUGGUUACAUUCUCGGCUGGCUACGCCGCUGUUGUCCCAGCGAAGAUCUCCCCAACAGCUGUGAAUGUUUCGACAUCUCCAACAGCUCCCCCUUCACCAACUCCGCCUUCCACAAGCCACAGUGCCCACAGGACAUCAACGUCAUCUUCAGGCUCUAUAACCCCUCCGCUUCCUCUGGAAAUAUCAUCAAGGCCGGUGCUGCCUCAGUACGGAACAGCCCGUUCAACCCUUCCCUGCCCACUCGUGUUGUGGCUCACGGUUUCACCGACUCUGGGGAAGCUCCGUGGAUGUUGGAGAUGAAAGACGAGUUCCUGAAACAGGUAAGCCAAUCUGUCCUUUAAAAAAAAAUUUUUUAGUAGAGG
RNAcentral lists this unclassified non-coding RNA (453 nucleotides) under Aplysia californica (California sea hare). Its description in RNAcentral is "pancreatic triacylglycerol lipase-like, transcript variant X1". The record is from RNAcentral. Lineage: Eukaryota; Metazoa; Mollusca; Gastropoda; Aplysiida; Aplysiidae.